This 305-nucleotide ribosomal RNA is filed under the name uncultured bacterium. RNAcentral's name for it is "bacterial SSU rRNA". It matches the Rfam family "Bacterial small subunit ribosomal RNA", at positions 335 to 659 of the family's 1533-position model. The record is from RNAcentral.
AUCCUAGGGAGGCAGCAGUGGGGAAUAUUGCACAAUGGGGGAAACCCUGAUGCAGCGACGCCGCGUGAGCGAUGAAGUAUUUCGGUAUGUAAAGCUCUGUCAGCAGGGAAGAAAAUGACGGUACCUGACUAAGAAGCCCCGGCUAACUACGUGCCAGCAGCCGCGGUAAUACGUAGGGGGCAAGCGUUAUCCGGAUUUACUGGGUGUAAAGGGAGCGUAGACGGUCCUGCAAGCAAGAUGUGAAAGCCCGGGGCUCAACCCCGGGACUGCAUUUGGAACUGUAAGGCUAGAGGGUCGGAGAGGCG